GAUCGAACUCCGAACCACUCGUUUAUGAAGCGAGCGCUCUACCACUACACCACUACCGCAUGUUGCUGUUGCCACUACUGUUGAUGAAGUAGGCUUCAAGGAUAUUGUUGUUCUUUUGGAUAUACAAAUAGUUUUUGAACUAGGGAGCAUUUGCUUUAAAUCUGAAGAUAGAAACUUUUUUCUUCACGGUAGAGCACUCACCAUCUUGUUUGAUGUCAAAAACCUAAUUCAAUGAAUAGUAUUUUCUUUGUUUUACACAUUUAUUUUACGUCUUAAGCACUUUUUACAGUUUUGCCUGUACGACUUGAUUUGACUCCAGAAAAUUCUAGAGAGUUUCAGAGACUUCUAAAAACAUCCAGAAAAGACCAGAAAGUUCUAGAAAGUUCCAUAAGAACAAUGAGCGCUCUUUAUAUAUAACUCCAAACAUUUAUAUGUUUAUACAGUAAGGAUGCUUUGCAAACAAUUGCGAUGGUCGGAGCAUGGAAAAACCAAUAAAAUAAAUAUUUGCACGAUUAACCAACCUUUUUUUUCUUUUUUAGUCAGCAAAACAUGUAAGGUAAUCCCCCCACCCCCCAUUCCACGCGCCGGCCUUGCAUAUAUAUAUAUACAUAAUCAAUGAUUGUGUAUAUACAAAUGCAAUAUAUGAUAGUCAAUAUGCAAUCAAUAUGCAAUAUGCAAUAUAUGAUUGUCAUAUAUGUAUGUGUAUGUGUGUGCGUGUGUGUGUGUGGAGUAGGGGGUGGGGGUGGGGGAGUGACUUACAAGUUUUACCAACUAAUAAAGAAAAAAAAAAGAUAAAUUUAAUGGAGGGUUUUCAUCCCAUAAAAAAGGAUUCUAAGAAAAUUAUUUAGUGUGUUACCAGCAAACAUUGUGUUUAUAAGUGGUUAUCUAUAAUAGUCAAUAAAAUUAAUAUAGUAUAAUUAUUAAUAAAAUAUUUA
This is a long non-coding RNA of Hydra vulgaris (swiftwater hydra), 935 nucleotides long. RefSeq lists it as uncharacterized. NCBI's taxonomy places the organism in Eukaryota, Metazoa, Cnidaria, Hydrozoa, Anthoathecata, Hydridae. The record is from RefSeq and is a predicted model, not a curated record.